RNAcentral lists this ribosomal RNA (1343 nucleotides) under metagenome. Its description in RNAcentral is "bacterial LSU rRNA". It matches the Rfam family "Bacterial large subunit ribosomal RNA", at positions 1564 to 2912 of the family's 2925-position model. The record is from RNAcentral.
UGAGUGCGAGCUUCUACGGAAGCGAAGUUGGUGACGUCAUGCUUCCAAGAAAAGCCCUAUACCCGUUAAGGCAUGAUUACCUGUACCCGAAACCGACACAGGUGGGGUGGUAGAGAAUACCGAGGGGCGCGAGGUAACUCUCUCUAAGGAACUCGGCAAAAUGACCCCGUAACUUCGGGAGAAGGGGUGCCAGCGCGAGCUGGUCGCAGUGAAUAGGCCCAGGCGACUGUUUACCAAAAACACAGGUCUCCGCUAAGUCGCAAGACGAUGUAUGGGGGCUGACGCCUGCCCAGUGCCGGAAGGUUAAAGAAGUUGGUCAGCGCAAGCGAAGCUAACGACUGAAGCCCCGGUGAACGGCGGCCGUAACAAUAACGGUCCUAAGGUAGCGAAAUUCCUUGUCGGGUAAGUUCCGACCCGCACGAAAGGCGUAACGAUCUGGGCGCUGUCUCGGAGAGAGGCUCGGCGAAAUAGAAUUGUCUGUGAAGAUGCGGACUACGUGCACCCGGACAGAAAGACCCUAUGAAGCUUUACUGUAGCUUGGUAUUGUGCUCGGGCUCGCAAUGCGCAGGAUAGGUGGGAGGCUUUGAUCCAUUGCUUGUGGGUGAUGGUGAGCCAAUGGUGAGAUACCACUCUUUGCGAGCUAGGGUUCUAACGGUCACCCGUCAUCCGGGGACCGGACAGUAUCUGGUGGGCAGUUUGACUGGGGCGGUCGCCUCCUAAAAGGUAACGGAGGCGCGCAAAGGUUUGCUCAGGCUGGUUGGAAAUCAGCCGACGAGUGUAAAAGCAGAAGCAAGCUUGACUGUGAGACCUACAAGUCGAACAGGGAGGAAACUCGGCUUUAGUGAUCCGACGGUUCUGAGUGGAAGGGCCGUCGCUCAACGGAUAAAAGUUACUCUAGGAUAACAGGCUGAUCUCCCCCAAGAGUUCACAUCGACGGGGAGGUUUGGCACCUCGAUGUCGGCUCAUCGCAACCUGGGGCUGAAGUCGGUCCCAAGGGUUGGGCUGUUCGCCCAUUAAAGCGGUACGCGAGCUGGGUUCAGAACGUCGUGAGACAGUUCGGUCCAUAUCCGGUGCAUGCGCAGGAAUAUUGAGAGGAUUUCUCCCUAGUACGAGAGGACCGGGAGGAACGCACCUCUGGUGUACCAGUUAUCGUGCCAACGGUAAACGCUGGGUAGCCAUGUGCGGAGUGGAUAACCGCUGAAAGCAUCUAAGUGGGAAGCCCACCUCAAGAUGAGUAUUCCCAUGGCUUAAGCCAGUAAGGUCACGGGAAGAACACCCGUUGAUAGGCUCUAUGUGGAAGCGCAGUAAUGCGUGAAGCAGAGGAGUACUAAUAGACCGAGGGC